This is a non-coding RNA of Xyrichtys novacula (pearly razorfish), 31195 nucleotides long. NCBI's taxonomy places the organism in Eukaryota, Metazoa, Chordata, Actinopteri, Labriformes, Labridae. The record is from the annotation of a GenBank genome assembly.
CUCGAACACAGCUCUGCAGACUCACUUUUCUCAGACAAAAACCUUUUGAAGAGGACACGCUGUGAUUCGAGGUUCCAGGUUUUCAUCCUCCUCUGCCCGAACCGUUCACCGAGAGGCAAUCAUGUGAAAAGUGGUCAGCUCUCAAAGUGGUGAUAAAAGGCCCUAAAUGAGAAAGCAGAUGGAUGGAGACAGGCAGAAGGAGCGCUGCGGUCUGAUUCACACGCAGCAUCUUCUCUAUAAUUGCCUAUGGAAAUCAAAACAUUCCUCAUGUUCCUGCAGAUGAAGCAAAACCCCAAGGGUGAAACCUGCUGUGCUCGACUCCUGCUCGCUCUACCCCUCCAGGCAGCUGAUGAGCUACAAAGUCUCUCACCUCUCUGUGUCGUCAUUGUCCCAGGAGCCGGCUGACAGUGACUGACAGCUCCUGCACUUUUGCUUCUUGUGUGCCACGUCUUCUCCUGGAUGAGUGUGUGGGUUUAAUAUCUUUUUCAGUGAUGCCUCCUGUUCAAACAUCCAGGUAUGUGCUUGUAGCUGCAGGCGUACCCAGAAAAGUAGGUAUAGGAGGAACAUGUAUUAUUAUUUUUGAUUUAAUCACAAAAACAAAAGACCAAAAAUGAAAACCAGACGUGUUAUUCUGCUGGAUUUAAAGACCUAAAAUCAACAUCUUCAGGACCACAUAUUUUAACAUUUUUGAGCAUCUUCCAGAACUCGUAUCUUAUCAAUCAAUCAAUCAAUCAAUCAAUCAAUCAAUCAAUCAAUCAAUCAAUCAGACUUUAUCUGUAUUGUACUUUUCAUACAUUGAGAUGAAGCACAAACUACUUUAAUUUAAUUGUUAAUAAAAAUGAAUGAAUGAAUGAAUGAAUUAAUAAUAAUAAUAAUAAUAAUAAUUAUAAUAAUAAAUUAGCAAUAAUAAUAAUAAUAAUAAUAAUAAUAAUAAUAAUAAUAAUAAAAUAAAUAGAAAUUAAGAAAUUAAAAAAGGAAUAAAAUUAAUAAAUAUAAUAAUAAUAAUAAUAAUAAUAAUAAUAAUAAUUAAAAAAUUGAGCUAUAAAAUAAAUAAUAAUACUGAUAAUAAUAUUAUAUAAUAGUAUUAUAAUAUUAAUAAUAUAUAUAAUGUAAUAUUAAUAAAUAAUAAAGUUAAACAAAUGAAAUAAUAAUUAUAUAUAAAAAUAUUAAUAAAAAAUAAAAAUAAAUGAAUUAAUCAAUAAAUCAAACAAAAUAUGAUUCACAUAAUAAUAAUUUAGAAAACUUAGAAUAAAAAAAUAUGAAAAAUUUACACAUAUAUUACAAAAAAUAAAAAUAAAAAAUAUGUCACUCAGAACCUUAUCUAAUUCUGGACCACAUAUGAAUGUGCCCUAAAUCAGACUUAAUGGGCAGAAAAAAUCUCAUAUUUGGCCACACUUGCCUUCAACCCGAAGAUAAUUAACCCCAAGAAUCCACCUCCAUCUCUAUCUCUUCCUCUCCCAUGAUGCACCUCUGCUCUGGCGUAGGGGGACACCCUCAGCAGAGCCUGGGCUCCAUCACAUACCUGAAGGAUAAAAGUUAAUGACCUUAGCAUCUCAUUUUCUGGGGGGGCCCCGUCUUUGGCUUGUCUCCUCUCAAAAGCACCUUGCAGCUCAAUGGGACAGAACAGACGAGAGGAGUCACUCUGCCGUGGAACGUAUAAUGACAUCUUCCCUUAUAACCCAGAAUGGUUAUUGGCUAUAAAACUGCAAGAGCUCAUCUCAGAGAUCCAUGGUCAAAAAGGAGAUGAUGUGUGUGGUCAGGAGUGAGACAGCUGUCUCCGUCCUUUAGUCUGUCUCUCUCCAUCCUUGUCUUAAAGGCGUUCGAGGAUGAGCCGAGCGCUCCACUCCAACUGCUGCGACUACAUUUGAAACCUUUCACAUCUGCCCCCGCUCUGUUUAUGACUCACUUGUACUCACACCACAGUAUGAAUGCUAAUGUUAACAGCUAGCGUGAUCCUGCCACAGAGCAUUAUGGCGAAGUAUCGAGGGGUUGUAAAUCAGAGCCGCAGAGGCACUCGAAGGAGGCUGAAAUUAAAAAAGCGUUUCCUCCCAUCAGCAUGAGAAGUGAAAGUGUACACCAGGAAACAGAGAAACAGGCGUUCACCGUGUCAGCUCUAAGCUCACACAUCCAGAGCUGUUAGCUGCAGCUACUUUAACCCUGACUGUUCGGUUGGGUGCGGGCCAACGCUUUUAGUCAUCGGCCCGAAUUUUCACCUCACUCCCUCUCUUUCUGUUGUGAGAUAUAGCCUUGGCGGAGCUCCCGAGCUUAAAUGGCUGAUUUGCAGUGGGUUAACUGGAGAAUGGGAGGGUGAAGUCAUAUAUAUUGUGUGUGGGGAGGCUUAGCUGAGUGGUAGAUCAAUUUGGGAGAAUAAAGAAGGAGCCAGAUGGGCCGCUGGAACCCGGUCCAAAGGAGAUGAGGUAAAAAAGCAGUAGAUGAAGAGCCCAGGUAUUUAUCACCCCUGAAGCCUGAAUAUAAAAUGUGUUUGAAUGUAUAUUGGCUGAUUUUAUGAAAAUACCACGACGGAGAAAAACCCCACAGGCUGAUGAAAAUGUUGGACUGUCACCUCCGAGUACAGUCGAUCAAUCACUCGGGUUUUAUUUGCGUAACACUGUUCCUACCAAUUAACGUAACACAAAGUGCUCUCACUGAAUAACCCCGCUGUGUGGACGGAUAAUGAAAUGAAGUGAUAUAUGUGACACUGAUGAAUAAUGGCAGCAUUAAACAAAACAGGAACAGCACAAACUCUGCUGUAAAUGCACCUGCAUCAAACUACACCGAGUCGAGCUGACUAAGGACAUAAUUAAGUGACGCUAAAUCAAGAAUCUGACGCCAACACAAAUUAACAGGAGGGCGGAGAAACCUUAUCGGACUUUGAGCCGGACCAAGAACAAAUUUAGCUUUUAAUAUCAACCACAAAAACACAAAGUAUUUCAAUGGGAGUUUACUCAGUGUAGCACGUGAAAACUGCAGUACCUCAAACGUCCACUUGGGGCUUUCUGCAGAAGAUGUUAAAUCCUCAUUAAGGCCCAUAUUAAAAUGCUUCUUUAUUCAGCAGAAUGAAGCGUGUUUGCAGCUUGGAUCAAGAUAAUUUUUUCUCUCUAUAUCACAAAAUAGUAUGCCACGUUUUUUUUGAAAUGCAGGAUUUUAACUAUACGAAGGUAGGAUGACCAUACAUCCUCUUUUAACCGGACAUGUCCUCUUUUUUUGAGGGCUGUCUGGCCUUGUCUGGCUUUGUUUGGGGCAGUUUAUAAAAUCCUUUAAAUGUCCAGGGUUUUGUAUGGAAGUUUUGAGUUUGUGCACGUGGACUUACUGUGUUAGAAGCAUGUAAAAGAAACCUUGAUCUGACCCGAAAAAAUCUCAAAAUUAACAACUCAUCUGCAGUUCCUUAAGUGUCCACUAGAGGCUGGCUGACUAAAACUAGUUUAGGUCCAAUCAGUUCAUUACUAGUUCAUCAUUCUCUGUUUUGGGGUGAAUUUUACCAAUUAAGGGGAUAUUAUGGCGUAAGACGCAGUUAAAGGAAAUACAAUUCUUCAUGGAAAUACAAUCAGACCGAGACGCUAAGGCAGAAGAACUACCGCGUCUGCAGAGAAAAAUGAUUAAUAUGAAAUGAUAAAGAAAUAAUCAUAAAUGUUCUUCCUUGAGCUGCGGCACCCCGCUGUAGUUUGUAAUGGACUGGCCUGAAGUCUCACUACAAACAAGCGGCUGCUGGAAGAGAGUAGGUGAGUUGUGUUUAGUCUCUUUGCUAAAGGAAUGAGUCAAAGUUAAAAAGAUGUUUGGUGUCUAGUACUAUGUCUGUGACCCUAUAUGUCCUGUUGAUGAAGUUAGGUGCUGUUCUGAGCAUUAUUUGUGGCUAUAGAGUGGCGUUUUGGUUGAGGGCGUGGCUCUCUGUAUUGCUAUCCUGCGGUCGUUACAAAAGUUGGUAUAACUUUACGCUGGAAUAUCCCUUUAAUAAGUUUUGAAGAUUUUUAAGCUUUGCAUAAUUUCACCAUUUUGCUAGCAUGACUAAAAUUUAGGUUGAGUCAGUGUUUCUAGUUUGGCGACCAACAUUGAUGCUACUGUGAAGACCAAUGGGUGACAUUACUGAGGCUUCAUCCAUGUUUAAUACUGUCUGCAAUAAAUGAAGCUUUAAAAUAGUUUUGGUAGGUAACAUCAUCAUUUCUGGAAAUCCUUUCUCCUUAUUUUCUAGUCUUUUCAUCCCCGACUGAGCUGAAAUCUCAAAUUAACCAACACAAGACUGUUUCUAAAAAACAUCUGAAGGUUCGACACUCGUGUUUCUCCAUCUCUAACAAAGUGCUUGAGUAUCUUUCUUGUCGUAGAGCAGGACUUCACUGGAGUGUUGGGAUUUCCUUAUUACUUCCCUUUCAAAUUAAUUUCGUCUCGCACAGAUACGCACAACAGCGAGACAAUAAAAGGGACUAAAAGCCGUUCAUAAGCUGUACAAAUCACAAAUAUUACACCGCACUCAGACGCAUAAAAAAGCCACUAAACACAAAUACAAUUACCGCAAAGUACAUUUUACAAACGCGGCUGAAGGUGAGAGUUAAAAUCCUGGAAAUGUAGUUUAGAAUGAUCCUCAGCGGGGAAUUACAGUAGUCUAAUGGUCUGGUUAGGAAGGUAAGGAUAACAGUUUCCAGAUGUUUGGAGGGAGGAAUGAUCUCAUGCCUUAAAUGUUUCUAAGAUGAUAAUAGCAGGAUGGAAGCGCUGAGUUAUCAUGUCUGUCUAAACCCAGGUUUCGCACGAAUCACUCCAAGAUUUCUGCAGAAAGAAAGACUCAUGCUUUAAAUUUCUAAAAUCCUUUUGCAUGAAAUAAAGGGAAAAAAAAGAUUAUUUUUAUAGGCCAAGCAAAGUAAUCCUCUGUCUCAGAGCUGCAGCAGCAAUAUGUCCUCUUGUUCCAGAGCUAAAAAUCGAUGCACGUCUCUUAACAUGCCUCAAAUCUCCACUUGUUGUGGUAGUAAAUAAGCAACGCACGCAGACGUCUUAUCUGUUUGAUACAAACUCGAUGUAAGAUGUAAGAUGUAGGGGAAACUGCCCAGACCCAUUACACUAAUCACACAUCAGCUUCGGCUGAGAAGGUGAAAUCUCAGGACCUUUAGUUCUGUUCAAUUAAACCGCAGCGGCUCGUAAAACGAAGCAAUCAAACCGAGGAUCGAUGGCGGCUCAGACCUCGUCUCGCCACGCCCAGGCUCACCGCAAUCUGGCCUGUAAAUCAGAGUGUGCGUGUGUGUGUGUGUGUGUGUGUGUGUGUGUGUGUGUGUGUGUGUGUGUGUGUGUGUGUGUGUGUGUGUGUGUUUGGGAGAGGGCGAGGGAAUGAAGCACAGGCCAGAGGCACGAGCCCAGAGUGUCGUCUCUUUCAUUUUCAGACAGGGAGGGAGAGUCAGGCUGAUGGAGAGCUGCAGCUCCAGGGAUGAAGGACAGGCCGACCCUCAGCUUCACGCACACACACACACUCACACACACACACACUCAUUUCCACAUUAACAUUAACCCCGGCACCAUUACCACUGUGAAGUGCUAUUAAGAGGCAGACGCGAGGCCGAGGGGAGCAGAUAUUACCAAACUGUCUCCUCCUCUCAGUCUGCAGCUCAUCUCGCGACUCUCUGACAGACGGGAAGGGAAACCCGCCAUGAUGGACUGAGCGGGGUCGACUUAACGGGCCUGAUUUUAUAGUUUGAUUAUUUAAAGGCAUUUAUAUCACCUUAUUAUACACAGUUUAAUUUAGAUUUGCUUCAGGGAAACAUUUCCACUGAUCCCAAAGGUGUGACAGGAUAAAACACGAAGCAGAAGAAGAAAUAAACGAGGAGAGAAAUGUUCACUUUAAAUAUUAUGUUUGAUGUUUUUUGCAUUUUGUGGAAAAAGUAAAAUGUCAAGAAUAAAAAAACAAAGUUUUGAAGACAAAUCAGAAAAGGAGGUAUUUGACAUUUUCACUUUCUUUUUAACAUUUAAUUCAUUUUUCUUAAACUCAAAGAAAACUCAGGAUGAAUUAAACUUUGCCUGAGAAUAAACUUUUAGAUUUUUAUUUUGACAAAACCCUUACACUGGAUUUCCACUUAUGUAUGACAUCUGUAGAUCCAUAUAAAUAUGUGAUACCUCUAGUGUCCAACGCAAGGAACUGCAUCUCUUUACAGAUGGAUAGAAACUGUGAAUCGACCUGAGAGUAUAAUCUUAAAUCUGGAUUAUUUCACAUCAAAUUGACGAAGAUAAUUUGUGUGUUUAAAACAAAUAAUCAUAUUCUAGCAGAAUAUUGUUACUCUGAUUCACACGCUCUUUUUUUAAUCUUAUGAUCUCACAAAAAAAGCAGCUGCAGGUUUAACGGAGAGUUUUCUUUGCCUUCACUGGGAGAUUAUAUUUGUACCAUUGUUAUUCACCAGGAUUUACACAAAUCCUUCAUUGUUUUGAUUACGCCGGCCCACUCGAAGGUCUAAUAAUACCAAUCUGAAAAUAAGAGCCCAUGAAACAUCCAACAUGUGUAAAUGUUUAGCAGAAUGUAAAUAACCGCUCUAAAAUAAAGGAUAUGACCCGAGCGACUGAGGAGAUUUAGGAAACAUGUUCGGGGAGAGGUUUAGGGGGAGGAAAUGACGAGGACAGGGUCUGUCUGAAGGACGGAGGACUUAGACAUAAUACAGCAAACACCUGAAACCACCUCAGAUUGAAACGCAGAUUUAUGGCGGUGCAGUUUUUGGACUGAUGUCGAAGUUUGACUCUUAAAAACCUGAUAUAAUUACAGUGUUUGGGCUGAGUCAAAUAUUUCGACGUAUAUUUGGAGCAGGUCUGAUCGAUUUUAGCUGCUGUGAGUUAACAAGUUUGUGGCGUUAAAGGGCUCUUAAAAACAGGCGCAGGAGUAAUGACUUUCCCAUCCCCUGGUGUCCGUUACCUGUCACAUUCGGUGUUUUUAUUGUCCAGACGCGUGUCUCAUUUCUUGUUAUUUCUAGGGUUAAAAAAGCAGGAGAGGGAAGAUUCUCAGGAAGAGGAGACGUCAAAAACACUUACCUUCACUGGAGUUAAUAUUUGUGUCUCGCUUUUAGGCGUCGCCGCCCAGCGGGAUGGCGGGGGGGCCCUGCCUGAACUACUUUUUUAUUUAGUUUGAAAACACGUUCAUCAAUCAACCAAGUCUGAACGCGGGGACGAGCCAUUCAGAGACAGCAGGCCUGAGAGUAACCAACACAAACAAACAGAGGCGUACAGAGACGAGUGUGUUUCUCCUGAUCGCACAUAUGAAGGCGGCGGGAAUUCAACAUCACAUUCCCUCGUGUUUUCCUCUUUCAUUAAAUAAAUGAAGCGCACAUGAGCGUCUGAGUCACUUUCCCCGCUCUGUAUACUUUCCCAUCAAUAAACGGGCGUUGUAAUUCACCUGUUUGUUUUUACGUGUUGUAGCUGCUCCAGUCUCGGUGACGGCACACACGGCUGUUUGCUCUGCUUUAAUUCUGAGCUGCUGUCAACAUCAAAGCUGUAAUUAUGCAAUAAACUCUGAGAGUCUCUGCGUCUUCAGCCCGCCGCCGCCGCUGCUGUCAGGUGUGGGACGGUUUGCCUAAAGGUUUGUUGUGUUUGCCGUCUUUGAUUUGGCUGCCGCUGUCCUCCAUGAUCCAGUCAGAAAUGAAGGCGGAUACGCUGACUGUGUGGUAUUUAAGAGGGAUUGCUGGGAGUUGUCGGAGAGCCCGCUCUGGCAGGUUGCUGUUGUAAUUGUCAUGUAAACAUAUUUGCUUUGGUGUUGUAGUCUGUGACGAUAAACAGAGGAGCAUGCACAGAGAGUCUAAUGAAGUUGGUCUGUGUUUGGGGAGUGAAGCACGCUUUUGUUUGGUGAAACUCGGAAACUCCAGGAUCUAAAAUAAAGCAGACGAUGACGUGAUGGAUCUCAACUUAGACUGUGUUUGUUCUACAGAGGCCCUGAGAGGACAAAAAAGUGGCCUCAAAUUGUCUGCAUUUAGGACUUAAGAACAGGCGUUUAUUAUCUUUUCUGGUGUAAUCUUCGUCUCUGAACUUGUUUGUUAUUUUGAGAAAGGUUUUCUCUUCGUGAUAAUCGUGGCCAAAAUAUAUCACAGUAGCAGUAUAAUUUGAGUAUUUCUGGAAAUGUUUUAAAUAAGAGAAAACUGUCAAAUUCUAAUCUGAACUAAUGAACAAAAUUCAUUUAAUUGUUAUCAUGCAUUUCUUAAAAUAUUCAAAUUUGUGUUUUAGCAUCAACCCUGUGACUAACUUUGGAGAAGAUAUUAGCUGUGUCCGAAAUGAAUCACUCAGUCCCUAACCCUCAUAUGGGGUUUCACUAUAUAGCUGACUAUGUAUUGAGCUCAAUCACUGGAGGUUUCGGACACUACAUGCCGCACCGUUGUGACGUCACUGCUCAGACUGAAGUUUUGGCCGUUGUUUUUUUGCAUUUUGCAACGCUCUAUGAGAAAUUUUGAGUCGCCUAUAUGGGGCAUUGGAAUUGAUCACUCAGGUUUCAGACACCCCUCAAAAUGGCACUAACCCCUAUAUAGUCGCCUAUAUAGGGUAUAGGGAUCCAUUUUGGACACAAAAUUGAAAAUUUACCUUACUUUAAUGUAGCCAUCAUUGUCAAACUAUGCUUUUAUUUUGAAGUACUGACUUCAAAAUAAAGUAUACAGCUUCUUAAACAUUAGUUUUGAAAGCCUCUAGCUCACUCGCAGUCUGCUACUUCUUCUUCGUCUAUCCUCCAUUUCUAUAGCACUCAUUCAGUUUUGUACUUUUAUUCCAUGAAGUUUAUUGUCUAUUACAAAAAGUUUUUUAAACCUUGAUUGAAGCCAAAAUGAAGCUGAAACCUCCAAAUGUGGAAAUUAGGAAACUUGCAGUUCUUUGAGGAGCCUCUAGGGGGUCACUCCAAAAGUGAGUCGAUCCCCAAAAUGUUGCAAAUUGAAAUUCCCACCUUUACAGCUGGCGUUAACUGGCUGUUGGCCAGUGUUAGGGUUACCCAGCAUGUUUGUUUGGACGUUGGUUUCACAUAGAUUAACUGUUCAUGUUGAUGAAAGUCAAGGUUGUUGUCGGACUUUCUUCACCUGAUGAUUGGUUGAUGAAGGCCUUGGUGUGUCAUUUACAGCCUCUAUCUGUUUCUGUAGCUUUAAUUCAUUUAUAACUUUAUCUCAUUUACCGUUUUAAUCGUCAUAUCUCAGCCUUAAACUUCUAUCUCCUUCUUUUUACGCUCUUUUACGUCUUUGGUCUUUUUGAGUCUGAGCUCAUGUUGCUCUGUUUUCAUGUUGCUCCGGUUCUUCAUGACGUUGUCACGUUGAUAUGUUGCUGAGGUUUUCACUCCUGUUUUGGUUUCUUCAGCCGUGGGGUUCUUGUGGUGUUUUCUGGUCGGGGUUUCAGCGUUGGUUUCUUAUGUCAUUCUGCCCUCACAGCUCCACUUAAGUCUGCUACUGUCUUCAAACUUGGCAGGAAACCUACGAGCCCCUCUUUCACUUCCAUACAUGAGAGUUUUUCCCCUCUUUUUCCAUCUGAAAUGCACUUUUUCACUUCCAACGUUCCACAGCUUUUACGACACUCUUCCUGCUAUUUUGAUGUGGACUGUGAGACCGUGUUUACUCAGGGCGGCGGCGGGGGAGAAAGGAGCGGAUGUGUGCGACAGCGAGGUGGAGGGAGGAACUUGUGACCUGUCAAUCACGAGAAAAGCGCCUCAGAUAAUCUUGUGACUCAGCUGUGGAUGCAUUUGCAGCAGGAAGUGUGAGUGAGUGUCUGGGGACGGAGACCCCAUUAGGCUGAGCGGCUGCUACUUUGCAGAGGCUAAUGGUGAAACUAAUACAAUUAAGCGUAAAGUGUGUGUGUGUGGGAGAGGACGGGUGUUAUUACAGAGAGGGCGACACGGGAAACAAGAGGAAGGUUGGCACAAUGGAGCAGGGUCGCGGUGGUGAUUGUCAUUUCUGGCCACCACAUCACGCCUUCGUAUUCACAAUAGACUGCAUCCGCUCCGCUGGCAGCUGCUCCGCAUAAACCAGGAAACUAACAAGAAUGUCUCCAAACGCAGGCCAGACAAAAAAAAGCCGACCGAAAUACUCCGAAUGAAAAUCUAACUCUACAAGUACCUCACAGGAGCAGUAGUAGAAGUGGCAACUGCGGCUGCACCGUCCAAAUUUUCCAUUUAUAUUCAGCAGCAGACAGACGGCUGUGAGAAAAUGUGUGAGUGGAGGAGCAGAAGUAAUGUAGCGCUACCAGUGGAGCUUAAGUCUGCUGGAAGACUCGGCCCAUAUGAGCACAUUUCAUUUUCCAUGCAUAAGAUAUUGCAGAGCUGUGUUUGUAUAGUGCGGGCCGUAGCACUUCCCUUCCUCACUCCAUUACUCGUGGUCGUCCUCAGAAUCAGAAAUGAUCACUGGACUGCAGGUUUAGUCCCCAGAUCCAGGGUUUAUGCAUGUAUAGACUCACAGCUGCAGGAACAUCUGAGCGAGUGAAACUGGGUUACAUGUCGGGGAAGGAUUUCAAGAACUUUCUCCAACUACUUUUCCAUGUAUUAUCUCUAAUUUUUAAUGAAUCUCACCAGAAUAUUUAAGACUAGUUCCUGUAACAGCAGAUUUUCUCCUCUGAUGCUCGGAAAUUCUAGAUACAAGAGAUCAGAGCAACCUGAGGCGCCCCAAACAACAUAAGACCACCACCCGGACGGUGCUCGUCCCUUUGAUGGAGACAUGAAUACAUGCAACAUUGUGGUGAAUUCAUGUCUCCAUCGCUCAGGAGUUAGUGGAUGAACCUGAAGAAAGAAACUGAGGCUGGGGUCAUAAAAAAGUGUGAAGUAGAAAGAAAACUUGGUGAAAAAGUUGUAAAUUUGAAAUGAGAUCUUUGCAGGAGAAGCUGAGAGUCAAAGAGCUUGGAUGGAUUAUGCUUAUUUUGGAUCUUGUCAAGAUCUAGCUGUGGAAAAUUGCAUCACAAAAGAGUACCGAAUGCUGUUUACGACGGUGCGAAUUAUCACAAACCAAGGUUGGCAUGUUGUGACCAAUCGUAGCUCACUCACAGCUAGGGUUGGGUAUCGUUUGAUUUUGAACGAUUCCGAUUCCGAUUUCGAUUCCUCAUUUCGAUUUCGAUUCCUAUCAAUUCUUUAUUUCGAUUCUUUUAAAAGGCAGGAUAUCAUAAAAAAAAAAAGCAUGGUUUGAAUGAGGGCGCUAACCGGAGCUCUUCUUUUUGGAUGUAAUUUCUGAACUUCUCCAUGAAUUUUUAAAUCAUAUUAACUUUUUAGGAACUUUACUAUGAAUUUCUCACAUUUUCAACCGGUAUAUAAAUAUCAUUUUUUGUUGUCAGGUCGUUUGUCUAUGAAAAAGCACAAGGGCUAACGUUAGUUGGAUAUUUAAGUUUACUCACCGUACUCAGUGCAAUUUGUUUACCGUUUCAAAGUUAGCAGAGGAUAGAAGUAAUUUAUUGUUUCACUUAUCUGAUCCUGACUGGUUAGCGGAAGACAGGCGUUGUGCUGUAGAAUGCAUCCCUGCCGUAGAAUGCCUCCCCUCCACUGAUUAGCUUCUUAGUGGAAGAAAUAUGAUCUCAUAUUUAAAAAAACACGAGUAUUAGAUCAUGACAACAUGUCAAAUGGAGCAGUAAACUUUCGUUUCGUUUUUCUGUGUCUCAGAAACGCACACAUAGAGGUGUACUUGGGUAUAUAAACUGUAGAGUAAGCAGUUAAUGUAGAGAACAUUAUAUUUUCCGGACAGUAAAUAUUCAGAAUCAGAGGGCUGUUGUUUUCGGCAUAUCUGAAUAGCCUGAAUGAAAUCAUUAAAGGCACACGCUUUAGAUUCCGUUCAACGGUAAGGAAAACUUGUUUCGCCUUGUUGUGUACUUUUCAACCGCGCUCCCGUCAGGGGUGCAUUCAACAGCAGGGGUGCAUUCUAUGGCAUAACACCGGCGAAGCGCGUCAAAGACGAGCACUCGGGUAUUUCUCCUCCAUGAAUCCUGAGGUGUUUAAUCAUGUUUGUCGUUUACCCUCCUUUGCAUGAUAUAACUGUAUUGCUAAUGUUGCAUUGAGAUAAGAGUUCAUUCUUCCUGCUAAAGUUAGCCAAACUUUUGACCAACGAAGAAGAAGCUGCCGAACACCAACGAGGACGGAGCGUAUGAGACGAAGUCACACAGAGAGAGGAGAGAGACAGAGAGAGAUUACAUUGUAACCCACAGCGGCUGCAUUGCUGUGGGUUGCAAUAUACUUUCUCUCUCUGUCUCUCUUCACUUUCUGUGUGGCUUCGUCUCAUACGCUCCGUCCUCGUUGGUGUUAAGCGGCUUCUUCUUCGUUGAUUUUCGGCGGCUAUUUCUUCUGGUCGGCGGACUCCGGCAUCGAAACUUGGAAUCGAAAUUUUUAUAUUUGAACGAUACCAGAAGAAUCGAAGUUUUAGUCUCGAUUCCCAUCGAUUCUCGAUUCUCGAUACCCAACCCUCACUCACAACGAACAACGUGUACGAAACAGAGAAGACGACCAAGCUCAGAAACCAUUUGGAGGUAAAAACUUAAAGAAUCUUAAAUAUGUUAUAGUUUGAUAUCUUUUUGUUAAAUAAAAAUAUGAACAUUAAAGAUAGAGACCCUAAAUAAAUUUCUUCACUGAACCAGAACAGCUCCGAGAUGAUAAAGAAAACAUUCAUUAUUAGACGUGUUUUUGUUUUUUAACAUCCUGUAUCAGUUCACAUGAUUCCUGUUUGUUUCCGAUGACUGUGAUCACAUGACGUCAGUGAAAAACAUCACAAGGUUGUCCUUUCCCAGACUUCACCAUCAUAUGUCAUAAUGUGUGUGUGUGUGUGUGUGUGUGUGUGUGUGUGUGCGUGCGUGCGUGUGUGUGUGUCAGCAGGUCAGAUCUGUGGGAACGAUGUGUUUUAACAGGAACUACGUUGGUUCAAUUCCACUUUCGUUUUGACCGUGGUUCGGCAUCCGUCUGGAGUUCCGUUGAAUUUAUUGAACUAUGAUGUGGAUUUGUGGUUAAAAAAUCACCCUGACACACAGAAAUGAGGAAGUGUGGCGUAACCAUGUGAUAAACCGUUAAACCCCGAUGAAUUGUGGUUAUUCCUGACAGUCACAGCUUUUCUUAAUUAUCACAUGAUGAACCUGAAAUCCUUUAUUUCUCAGCUUUGUGUCCGUGUUGAACAGAAACUACUGAAGGAUAUUUUAUCCCCAAAUCUGCUUCUUCUUCUCUUUUUUCCCUGUUAUCUCCGGCUGAAACAAACAUGGAGGAGCGGUGCUAUUUUUAAAGACCGCCUCCACCCUGAGCGUCUAACUCUCUAAUUAAAAGAGACAGCAUAAGUUCCUGGCUGUUGGCACAUUGAUGUUAAAAUCUUGUGCUUUUCACACUCCAAGAAUCAUUGCCAGAAAUCUUUUCUUUCAACGGGACGAGGAGAGCUUUCACAUACAUGCACAGCCAGGUGAUAAUGAAACACCUUUACAUGACUGAUGAGGAGUUUAUUUAUAGGUGAGUUUACCUGAUCCAGACUGCAGGUACUGAGAAGACUCCGUUUUUUUCUGUGUGAACGGUGUCUGCUUAGUACCUUCUGGUUUAAUCACGUCUUAAUAAAACUGCAUCAUCAGGUAUGUGAUUCACUUUGGCAGCUAUGACUCUAUGUGUAUUAUAUCUUUAAGACAUACUGAGGUCUGAUUUUUGAAGACAUGAUCAUUAUAUCUCCUGAUAAUGUUGAUUAUUGUCAGAAAAUAGAUCUACUAUUAUUGAAGUAUGUCCUUGAGCUCUCCUGGUCGAGUAUGUUGGGUUUUGUUUUUCUUUUUGAGAUUAUAUCUUACAUCAAAUAGUCCAGAGUGGAAGGCACAGUCUGCAAAACACCAGAGAUAUUAGAGCCAUAAAAAAAGCUAAUCCUCACUGAGUGAUGACCGCAAAGUGAUUGGUCAAGGCCUUCAUCAUGUGAUGUCUCUAAGUCUGGUUGAGCAAGAACAAACCAGGUGACACAUUGCUCUUGCAGGACCAUGUUUGACUCAUACUAACCAAAAACAGGAGGUUGGAAGCGGGAAACAACCAACUUCUGCGUCCAUCAAAGAAGAGUUUCUGUUUCUUUGUUCAUGGAGCAGCUUUGACUAAAGGAGCCAAAGUCGGGGAUUUACAGCCUCUGUUUAAAGAUGGCGUCUCCAGAGGCUCUUUGUCAAACUGGAUAUACCACCUUUUUUGCAGUGUGAGAACCUUCAUAGACUAAAGUUAUUGUGUUUAUUUUCAUAAGAAGUCUAUCAAUAAAAAAAGUCUGUUACUGCCAAAAACAUAACUUUUAGAGGAAGUUUGGUUUGAGAAAACUCUGCAGCAGAAUCCAAAGUUUUAAAGUUACCAUCAAACACAGAGAGAGUGAAGCUAAUUCUUAAAGAGUGAAUAUUUAUUCAUUUUUUUACAUAAUUUAUCCACAGAGUUAUUGGUAGAAAUAAAUCAAAGCGGUUUUAGAUGAAUAAAAUAAGGUUAAAAAAAUAAUAAUAAUAAUUAAAAAAAUACAGUAGUUAAAAAAAGGAACUCAAACCAGUAAAAUGUGAAAUAAUAAUAACCAGUUAAUUUAUAUAUGUUUUUUUUCUUUCUUUCUUUUAACAACAUAUUUGCUUUAUUUUAGAGCUGAAGGUCGAGGUACUACCUGGACAAGUUUUUCCUGUUAAUACACGUUUAUUGAUACACAUAGAUAACAAAUGAUAAUAAUAAAUAAUAAUCCCAUUAUUCAAAUACAUUUAUUUUUUCAAAUUUAAUGGAAGAAGUAUUACUCUGCAGACAUUAACGUAUGUCUUGUUGCAAUUCAAGUAGUAUUAUGGAUAAGUUAGUGGUUUUUUUUUUUUAACUUUUUAAUCAUUUUGAUGCAGAAAUUAUCAAAACUUGUUGCUAAAAACUUAAUUGAGUUUAUUUUGUGCUCAUAUGGUUUUAUGUUUUUAUGCUAAUAAUACACCGACACAGUAGACGGACACACACGGCUUCAUUUAACCAAAUUAGCUGCAGAGAUAAUCUCCAGUGGCUAAAUAAAGUCCAUAUCUGCCAUCGUAUUUACAUUCCUGAUAAUACCUCUAUGCAGAUUUUGUUGCUUUUUAUCCGUAAAUGAUUCGAUUUCCAAACAAACGCGGUUCAUUAGAGCAGACAGGAGGUCACGGCGUGUCGAUGCUGUUCUUGUUCACCUUUCCUCUCGGAGUGCAUCAUGUGUUGUUGUUGUUUUCAAGGAGAUGUGAAAUGAGUAAAGUUUUUAAAAAGCUUGCACUUCCUCCUGUUUUGCAUAUAAAUCUGGUGAACCCAGUGUGCAUGCAUAUUACAUUUCCUUUCAGGCAGAUUGGCUGAAUUUUAAAUCAGAGUGACUGCUGAAUUAAACGCUUUCUCUUCGGGUCUCACGGAUUGGAAAAUAAUGUUUGUGUCUCUUGAUUUGAAGAGCUCCGACGUUUCUCCCCCCUCAUAAAACUGCUGACACAGACCUCCAGAGCCCCUGAUUUCUAUUCUGGGAAUACCCGUCUGAUUAGUAGGUCAGCCAGACGGCCCCUGAACCGGCCGGCAGCUUCUCGGGGACGAGCCCUGCGUGGUCUUGGAAAUGACUCAGUAAAUGCUGCUGUGGGCUUUGAUGCCUUAACUGGCGGAUGUGUCAGAGCAAAUUAAAGGUGAGAUGUAACAGCUAGGUCCCGACUUGUCAAGUAAACUGCCUUUGAAUAUGAUUUGCAUGAUAUUACCGCAGACCUUGACCGUAGAGAGGAGGAGGAGAGUCGUGCAAAGCAAACGCUCAGGUGCCAGAUCGACCUUCGUUAGCAUGUGGGACGCCGAGACGUUGACAGUGAUGGGAAAACAAAAGACAGGAGUUUGGCCGAACGGUCUUAGUCUAGAAAUAUUAACAUGUUCUGAGAAAUGUGCUGUUCUUUACCCUCAUUUACCCGUGAAAUGUGGCCGUGAGUGAGCGCUAAACGGACAAGAGUUCAAGCCUUGCUCCAUUUGCUUUUAUAUUACAGCUCUCGGUCUGGUGUUCUGAGCACAGCUGCUUUAGACCAGCCAGGAAAUUGCACCUGAAAUUGGCCUUGUGGUCUUGAGUGUCUUAUAAGCCGCCUCACAGGUAUGAAAGAAAAUGAGAGAAGCGAAGAAACAGCCUCUCCAGCUCUCCAUUUCAACCACAGACACGUCUCUCAGCCAUGCACAAGAAUCUCUUGCCCGCCUGCAGCCGAUGGUUACCAGAGAAGGUCAGCGAGUCAUGUAGCAACCCGGCCGCAGAGUGAAAAAUGGAAGUGGGCGUCCAUUUUCUUUGGCCACCGGAGCAUGCACAAAUAAAUCCCAGAUCUGCCAUCUUUCUUCCUUCUUCCCUGUCUGUUGUACACUCUCUUGUUUUCAGUCUGCUGCUGCUGUAAAUCGGCCCGGUCCUGGGAACGUGCAGGCUGUUUUCAGGGGAUGAAUGGAGGAGCUUGGAUUUCACUGAUCUGGGCAAGAAAUGCAAUUGAAAAGAAGUGUGCACUGGCUUUCAUUAUGAAUUGAAAUAGAUCAUUUCUCUAUUUUCUGCCUCUUGGGUUUUCAGGCAGUGAAUGAGCAAAAGAUAUGUCUUGCUUAGCCGGACCUAAACCUCGAUUUAGAGAGGCAGUAACUGCAGGCUGGAGACCCGCUCAUGUAUCACUGCCAAACGCGGGGGGAAACAUACCUUUAGUGGUUAGUUUCUGGAGAGGGGCCAGCGCUGUUGGCCACGUUGGCGACUCUAUCAAUUCAAUUCCAGGCCUGGAGCGUUUUCAGGCCUGUGGUUCAUUUUAACUUUUAUCAAUCCAUACCUCAACACUUGGGCAUGCUUAAUAUCGCAGAUUUAACAAGCAGAGCCGGUCCCUCGCUCAUAAAACUUUAAUUAAUACGGUAACAGUUCGCAUCAGAUGCCAAAACAUUAGCUCCAGAGCUUUUUACAGAGCAUAACUCACCGAAAGACUAGAGGAGGUUUAAAUUUGGAUGCAAAUCAACAGAGCAUAUUUGCUUUUACUUAAAGUCUUAAUUUCCAUCACCAUCUGCCCUCAGGCUCUGAAGACAUUCUUUGAGCUCGCUAACAGGGUCGUUUAUUCAAUCAGCCAACUGGUGUCGAGGAAGGAGCCGAAGAGGGACCGAGGCUCACCUGGGGAAAAGACAGAGUUCGAAGUAAAACAUGCAAAGAGACAAAAAAAGUUGUAUUUUUUCACAUUAUUGUUGUUUCAGUUUCUGUCAAAGUUUCACUCUUUAGUUCAGAGUUUUAGGGUCUCAUCUGUACCACCAAAAGUCAAACUGUGGAGGCGUUCAGUGCAACAGAUGACUCAUGUUUUCUUCACGCCGGAUGCAAAUAAAACUGUUCCCUUGCUGAAUUUGCAUGCCUGAAUAUUCUGUUUGCAUGCCUAAUCUGUGUGAAGACAUGAGUCUUUUUUCAUCAAACACUGUUGACCUUCAAAGAUCUGUUAUGUUUGAAAAGUUCACCAGAUAAUUCAAGCUCCUUUUUAUUCCUAUUUCUGAUAGCUGAUUGGCUCAGUGUUGUGUCGUGCAAAAGAACUGAACUGCUGAGUGAACGACGUGAAUCACUCUGAGACCUGAUUCGUUCCUUUUUCAGAUCAGUUGAGAGGGAGUGGAACUGCCGCCUUUGACUCUUUGGCGAACGACACACAGCCAGCCAGUCAGCGGGCAGGCGGAGUCUCGUGAUUCACUCACAGCGAAUGAACGACAUGUAUCAGUCAGUGAACAAAACAGUCUGUGAACGGAAUGAUUCAGUCAGUCAGUGAACGACAUGGUGAAGGAAACGAAACGAACGACUUCUGAACGACUCUUUGCAAACAGAGAAAGGAGGUGGUGUAGUGUCAUUCACUAACUGCUGAACAUUGGUUUAUUCACUAAGGCUGAGAUAAAACAGGUCAUUAUAGUGUCUUCACAUUAAUACACAUAUAUAAACUUUCCUCUAAGAAGGAUUUUAUGUCAGCUGAUUAAAAAAAAUACGCCAUUGAUAUCUUUAAAGGUAGCAGAAUCCCCGCUACAGCUGCGACGUCAAUGAACAGAUUCUAAAGAUUCAGUCAAAAGAACUGAUCUUCCCAUCACUAGAUUGGCUACUGCGGCACAAGUGAUUUACUGGAAUUCAGAUUUUCAGUUCCUGUGAGUAAAGGAAUAAAGUGAGCGGCAUGUUGAAUUAGCAUUGACUGCUGCUAAAACUCGCCUUUUUGCAAAACUUGUGUCUCACUGUUCAAGUCAUUUGCGACUCCUGAUAAGAACUUGCAUCUGUACGUUGAUUUUACAUGAAAUAACUUUAUUUGCAUGCAGCGUGAUCACAACAUUAGACAGAUAUUCACUAUGACUGUUGGGCCACAUUUUGAAGCUGCUGCAGCAAACAGAAAGAAAAUAAAAAUGUGGUCAUGACGACGUAGAGCAGAGUCAAUACUUUAAUGUUUUUUUUUUGUUAUCUAACCUUUAAAUAUUCAAACAACAGUAAAUCUUAUUGAAUAACAGGAACUAAAAGUGCUUAAGCUGGGUGUGAAUCACUGCAUCGGACCGUCAGGUGGUCCGACUUGUUUUUCCCGUUUUGAGUUUUCGCUGGAAGAAGCUUUUUUAGACUUUUCCAUCGACAUUUGUUCAUCUGCUGCUGAAGGGUCUCAGGUGGAAAACGUUAAACUUCUCCAUUGUUGAGACGGACAGGUAUUUAAAAUGCAGCGUUAGGCCGUGAUGUGCCAGACCUGUCACGUCAGCCAGCCUGCUUUAGCUGGGAUCUGCCCGCUGAGCUGCGGCGGUGCCCUUGAGAGGUGCUUUUAAAAAUAGCGGUCGUCAAGUAUGCAGCUGUAUAAUUGGAAUAUUAGAUAAACUCAAAGAAAUGUGAGUUAUGACAACCGCCUUGAGGAGGAGGAGGCAAUAAAGCCCCUUAUAGUGUAGAGUGGAGUAUAAAAGGAGAUGGUGGAGGGGGAGGAGGUGGAGUGAUAUAUCUGCUGUCCUUCUCCGCUCUGAUUUUCCACAGUGAUUGGAGGCCCUCCACAAAUGAUGAGGGAGGCAGCUGUGAGAGCGCAGAGGCUCGGCAGGUUCACGGCAAAGUCAACACCGUCCAAUCCCUCUAAACCCUCACACGGCUCACCGCAGAGCAGCACGCCAAAAUAAAGCCCUGCCUGUGAGUGAGUGAGUGAGUGAGUGUGUGUGUGUGUGUGUGUAUUAAUACAUAUCAGUAGAGUAGCAUUUCUCUGUGCCUCUGAGCACACACACACACACUCUCGAUCUGUGGCUGUGUGGGCGGAUGUGUCUCUUUUUUUUUUAAUCUGUGAUGUACAACCUGUGGCUUGAUAUCUGCACCUGUGGCAUACUCGCCUCUACAGGAUGUUGGAGAAUUUUAAUCCCUCCAAAUCCCCGACUCUGAGUGCAUGUAUUUCCUGUGUGACUGUGUGAAUUUUCAGACGGCGUGGAAGCUCAAGUGCCUGAUCGACCGCAGCACGGGUUUUUAUUCAAGAUAUGACUUUAUCGCUGCCAAUUGGGGUCAGCACAAAGCCGCGUUUAGAAGAUGAGGUGAUACGUUUUUUAUUUUUUUGUUACUGAAGCAGUUUGACGAUGAAACUUUCACACAAAGAUGAGACGCUGACUGAUGCUAAAGUGUCUAUAAAAGUUUAAAAAAAACUGUCUUUAAAGCGAAAUAAAUCCUGAUAAUUGAGGUGAAGCUGAUUGAAUUGACUUCUGGGCUGUUAGCAAAGAGGCUAAAACGCCACCUCAAGCCUCAUUAAACCUCUUUCUGACAUGGUGACCACCAUCGCGAGAUGGUGAUGCUGUUCGCCAUAGAAAUGUUUGCACCUAAUUGUGUGUACACAAAUGCAUGAUGGCUGCCAUGCAACUUUUGCACACCUUUAAAAAUGAAUUUAAGGUGCAGACUGCAUGUUUACUGUAUGUAGGUGUAGCAACUGCUUUCUUUCAACAAAAAGGUCACUGGGGUUCGCUUGCAUUUGUGACGCGUUCAAUUAUCAGUCCAGUUUGAGUGUAAAAAAAUAAUUUAUUGUUCAAAGAAGGAAAGAAAACUUGUUGAUCCAGCUCCUAAAUUUUUGCCUUCGAAUUAAAAGGGUAAAGAUGAUAUGAGGUUAAAACAAGAAAAAGGUUAAAACGAUGAAAAACAGUCAACAGAAAAUUAUCAGAGCAGAGUCUGACGACACCGGUGAGUUUUAAAUAAUCUGCCAAACAUCCCAAAACCACACCCCUUAGCGACGAUACCCGGAAGUGACGUACCGAGUAGAAAUCAAACUCAACGAAUAUAUUUUGGCUCCUACAGCAGGGAUGCUCAGACGUUUUCUACACAUUAGGUGCAGAUGGAGACGUGGAGCACCCACAUAAACAAUUUAAAGAGACAAUACAUUGAAAAUCAAUCAUUGCGCUUAUCAAAGAUAUUUAUAAUUAAACUGAUGAGACAGCCAGACAAAUAGCGUAAAUAUAAACCAGAUAUAAACCAGAUAUUUGAGAAAAUGAGGGUCAACCAGGUGAUUAAUUUCUUUCUAAACCAGAAUUCGAAGUUAGAUAAUAGCUCCCCAAUUUCCAUCACAUCCGAAAUGGCUAAGCUACAGAGCGGCGGCAAUUUUCGACGUCUGCCAAUUCCUAUCGGAUCUGUAUGUGAGCGGGAAUUGUGAGAACUCACAAGAACCCGUGGAGUCACAUGCAAUCACGCAAUAACGAGUCGUCUCCAUAAAGACAGACACAUAGACAUAUAAGCAGUAGAUUGUGUCCUUCCAGAGGAGGAAAUCUACUUCUAGACUUCUAGAAUCAGCAUCUCCUCAUCCAUGGUGUCAUCGGGGUGAAAUGACGUCUAAAAACCUUUCACUUGUUCAUCCCCGCCCACAUUUGCAAGGUGCCUCAAACACGUAUUUGUUUAAUUUUGUGUCUGUGCCCGACUUCCUUUCCAGCACGGGUUAAUCUGUGCUGAAUUUAUGCGGCAUGAUGCAGCAUCCAAAAGAAACAAAGAACUCUGCAGCGGAACAGAAAGAAACCGGUUACGAUCAGCUGCGAUCAGCGGAUACGGCCUUUUCAUAGCCGUUCUGGAUGCGGUGGAAAUUGUGGGUCACAUGUCUGAAUUUGGAGCAGACUGAUCAGAACAUAUGAGUGUUUUAUGGACCGGUCAUAAACACACUCUGAGUUAUUCUCUCCGUACGCUCUCCUAAAAGAUGACUCAGGUUUCAUCUGAUUACAUCACUUGACAGAGAGAUGCAGAAAAACGACAGAAAUCUAUCAAUCAGUCAGGCGGGCGGUCCUGUAAGAAUUUCACAUAAUUUCAAUCUGAUGCUAAAAAUAAAGGUUGUAACAAUAGUUAAAUAAAAGGCAGACACAUUGUGAUACCAGAGGCAGGGUCUGUUCCAGACUUUUAAUCUUCGAGUCCUUCAGAUUUCUCUUCUUCUUCUUCUUUUUUUGUCUCUGGCUUUGAAUCGGAGUAACAGCUGCAAAUGGAGACAUAGACUGUGCUGCCAUCCAGGUCAGCGUGGAGGGCUUUUUGGAUGUGCCCCCAGUGAACAAACAAGACACAGAGUCUGAUUGGAGACAAGCUGCCUCUCUCUAAUCAGCUUCCCAUUCUCUGCACGGCUUCUGUUUCCAAGGCAGUGGCUCGCUAUUCGCUGAGAUCCACUCCGCCGCUGAAAAAGACAAGAUAAUGCUUUCUUUGUUAACCAGAAACCAUUUCAGCUUCAUUGUUAACAAGAAACAAUUUCAAGUUUGAGUUUUUCCUGAAUUAUCCGAGUACUCUUUCUCAAAGCGUCUCUGCUUCCAUUUCAGCCAAACUGAAGUGAUUUUUCUUUUGUUACAAUUAUGAAUAAGACAAAUGAUAUUUGAGACAGUUUGUAUCACGGGAAGUUACGAGGCGGAUUUAGACUGAAGCCAAAAGGACUGAAAGACCUGAGGAACCCAAAAUAGACAAUAAAGCGAGGUUACUUUAGGGCACUACUGGCUGUAAUAGUAAAUAUAGAAUUAUAUGAUCUACAGUGGACUGUCAACAAGCAUAGAGAUGUAACAGUGGGGUUUACGGGUUAAAUAAAGAUGUUAAAGAAAUCAGAGAAAAAGUGGAAAAAUCCAAGAAAUCAAUCUCACCACGACCGGUCCCACGCCGCUUCAUCACAGCCACGUCCGAACCACAAACAAGAAGUUAAACCACAUCUGCACAAACUUCUAUUGUCUUUUGGACCGUGAAUGAAUUUUGUGGACAGAGUUUAAGUCGGUCAUGAGUGAGAGGGAGAAAGAAAUACUCUGGGAACGUUUCGUAACACGAAGCAAACAAAGGAGAAAUGUUUGAUAUGGAGGAGCUGCAGCGGCGUGAUCAAGGACGCCAUCCUAGCUUAUCAUCUUUUCAUAUUAGCUAUCUAGGAUUGUAAACCAGCUGUGGACGUACCUGGUUGUGGUAAACAAGUCUUUAAGUUGAGGACUUUUAAAACUCAGUCUUCUGUUGGUUUGAGUGAACAGCAAAAAUCUAACUUUUGUUCUCGACUUGUGCACUCAUUGAAAUUUUACAGGGAACUCCAGCUUUUCUCCAUCACUGUUUAUCAGUGCAAAGGCAAAUAAAUAUCACAGUAUGUAGUUUUUAAUUAUGCACAUUGCUAAUUCUACAUGCACACUGGUCUGGCAUGCAGACGUGAGCAUUUGUUGGUGUAAAAGCUGACUACAUGAGGACUUGGACUCAUGAUCUGCAAACAUUCCCGUCCUGUACAUCUGCGUCUCUAACUUUGUAUCUUCCAGAAGACGACUUUUGCAGAUUUUCUCUUGCUGUGGAUCUAACUGGCUCCUGUAAUUUACUGUAUUUACUUCUAUUUCUAUUAUUGUAAGAAAACUUAGACUUCAAGGUGGUCAUCAGGAGAGUAAUCCAGGGAGACUUCAAUGUUUUUGUUUUGUUUUGUUUAUGAUUUCUAACUCUUGAGACCUCCACAUCAGCCUCAGAUGUUUACAAGGACCUCCAUAAAUUAUAUCCCACAAGCGUUCUGGAUAGGAGACUUAUUUUGGUGCAGAGACACCUGAGCUAACUUUGUAACCUUGUUUUUUUUUUUUUUUACAAUCCAUGAGAUUGAGGGUGGUGAUCCCUGCGGAUGCGUGAACAUCCAAUUAGAGAUUUGUGAUCCGUUUGUGUUGUGGAAUAAAAUAUUUUAUUUGAGUAAAAUAAACAGAAACUUAGAGAAGUGUAUUUUUACAUAUUUGACUGUGUGAACAACAUCCUGCAGGGAGCUGAGGCUGGAUUUCGCUCCGUGCGACCGCAGCAGAGUACAAUAACAAUACUUGUGUACCUACGUGUAGGAGAGGAAGAAAAAAAAACCUGCACGGGCACUCGUCUCUUCACCCUCAAUCGUUCACGCUUCACUGCCAAGUCAGAGGUCUAAUUAUGCAUUUGAGCGUGAGAGUUUAAUUUGCACUUUUCAUUUGGAGUGAUUGGCACUCAUAUAAGUUAUUCUGAAUGCUGUUUAACUACAGGAGGGGCGGGCGGUGGGCUGCGGGCUCCGCCGAUGUGCCACUCCAAUCACUCUAGUUAUUCAUGUUCAUACUACACGUACAUUCCUGUCUCUGCGAACCUGAGUGGGCUGAUGUAAAAGGCCUCAUGUUCGAUUCAGAGAGUGCACGCAUGUGUGUGUUCACGCAUGUGUGUGUUCACGUGUGUGUGUGGGAAGCAGGGGGUCUCUCUACAAAUUGUCCUUUUACCUCCAUGCUGGUUUGAAUCCAACAUCACGAUACCGUGUAAUGCAUCUGCUCAGACGUGUGCAGUAGAAAACAUUUUAUCUGACGCUGGGAGUCAGAGAUAGAAUUCCCAGCAUUCCUGUUGUGAGGGCAAGGCCUCUCCCCGGGGUGCCAGCCGGGGCAGCAUGUGAGAGGCAAAGAAACAUGAAAACGAAACGCAAAAAGUCUGAUUAAAAUGCAUGACUGCACAGAAUCAGUCAAGAUAUCAGCAGGCUUAGCUGGGCAAACACUCCGACUGCAGAUUCACGUACGAGCUGCAUACAGCAGGUGAAACGUUCAGGACCCGGGUCCACCCCGGGAGAAAACAGACAAGAUAUUACCUCAAAAUUGAAUAGGCUGUUUAACUUGCAAAGAUACUCUCACAUACAUGUUUGUGACUUUGCUUCAGUCUCCCCCGCAGGUUAAAGUCAAAACUUUUCCUCCACUAGCAGUCCCUGGUGCAGUUUGUUUCUGCUUUUAGAGGGCGUGUUAAAGAGAGAUGUAGGCUGACCAUACGUCCUCUUUUACCCGGACAUGUCCUCUUUUGGGGGGUUGUCCGGCCUGUCCGAGGGGAGUUUUAAAAGUCCACGUCUGCUCCUGAAGGUGGCGAUGUCCUGAGAAACAGACUGUAAUAGCACAACAGUAAGGAUGUCAGCAAAGAUCUGGCGUAAGUUCUGGCGUAACUAAGUUAGGGUCAAACACACCUUAACACCGAGUGAGACACCGGUCUGAGGAGCCAUAAACAAACGUCAACCAAAACGCCACUCUAUAACCACAAAUAAUGCUCAGAACAGCACCUAACUUCAUCAACAGGACAUAUAGGGUCCCAGCCAUAGUACUAUAGUCAGAGUUGUUGUAAACUCAUAAAAAAACAUAAACCUAAGCGGGGGCAUUUCUCCACCUCUGCCAAGAAAGUUCUGCUGUAGUCAAAAUGAAAAGGUAAAGGUGUUUUUAUUGAGCCGAAUUAUCAAUAAAAUCAUGAUUUUGUUAACAGGUAUGGAUAUAUGUGCUGUCGAGUUAGUAUAUGUGAACAAGAGCACAGUAAAGUUAAAUCAGAUCGUUUUCCAAUGAGGUUCUGUUACUAUACGAAACUACACCAUGUUCUACUCAGGUUAGUACAUAUAGAGUCCUAGCCAUAGUACUAGACACCAAACAUCUUUUUAACUUUGACUCAUUUCUUUAGCAAAAAGACUAAACACAACUCACCUACUCUCUUCCAGCAGACGCUUGUUUGUAGCGAGACCUCAGGCAAGUCCAUUACGGACUACGGCGGGGUGACGCAGCUCAAGGAAGAACAUUUAUGAUCAUUUCUUCAUGGUAGAACUACCGCGUUAUUACUUUGAGGAAAUGAUAAAUAAAUUAUCAUAAAUGUUCUUCCUUGAGCUGUGUCACCCCUGCGCCAAGGAGCAAGUCCCCCUCUGCUCCGGUAGAUGGCGACGUCCUGAGAAACAGUCUGUAAUCGCUCAGUAGUUAGGAUGUUAGCAAAGUGCUCCCCCGUAAAAAAGAGGAAAUAUUAUCAACUUCAGUAAUAAGUGGGCCAAACCAAAAUAAAUUACUGACAUCCACACACACACAAUCAUAAAUGCACCUGCUUCUACACUCAUGCACCUGCACUUUCUGCACACUCUGCAUCCUUGCAUCUCUUUUGUCACACCCCCAAAACAAUCCGUCAUUUCCUCUCUCUCUGUCUUUUCACGCCUCUUCUCUCCUCGCCGUCUCUCCUUCCAGGACUGAAAUCUGCAGCUUCAGCAGAUCUCUGUGUGGUCAAACACAUUACAGGAGCUUUCAGCCCACAGCUGGCCACUUAUCGCCCUUUGUGUUUUUAAUUUUCUGCACAUCUCUGCUGCUCCCUCUCUCUCUCUUUCACACAGACACGCAGAAGUCCCUAAUUAACUAACAUCUUGUACGGGGAGGAGGUAAGCAGAUGUUGGGGAAACAAUUAAGAGCAUUGAAAUAUGCUGCACAAAGAGUUUUGCAGAGCGCCGUCGACCCUUCCUAAUCCCAGCCGCCUGUCUGUUCUGAUGAUAGUUAACCAUGUCUCAUCUUUUUAUAGAGCUCUGCCUCCUCUCUGCAUCCCUGUGGGGCAUGGGGCUGCUCAUUCUUCGAGCUAAUAAUGGAGCCAUCUGAAAGUAAUAAUUGCCACGUGAUGCGAAGAAGUCAGUGAUGUGUCAAUCAAGCUCUGCACAGCGGGAGUCAGGAGCAAAUGUGACAGAGUGAAGAUGUGAAGCUGAAGUGAGGAAGAUGAGAAAGAGAGAAAAGAGAGAGAGAGCGGGAGGGCGUGUCUGCCUUUUUGUCCUUGUGUGUUUUUUUUGUGUGUAGGGCUGAUUUUUGCUGAUUUUGCAGCCUCCGUUUUUAGCUCUGUCCUACUUCACAUGCAGGAAGUUGCAUCCUCGUCCGUGCAGCGCACCUGGUCCUGCUGAUGCUGCCGGCCUCUGAGCAGCUGUGCGAGGACCUGUCUUUGUUUGGACAUCACAGACAGGGAGUUUCAGCAGCAGAGUCUAAAAUAACCUGGAAGUGUUUUAUUAGGGCACCUGCAGAAACUUCGGUCCGCUGUGUUUAUCUCUGAUUCUGCAGACUUGGGCGUCUGGAUUUUGGUAAGAACUUUGUUUAUAAAGUUAUUUAACCCUAUGAUUGGAUGUAAGCAUUUGUAUACUAGAAAAAUCAAGUCUGCUUGAUUUUGUGUCACAAAAAACAAUUUCCUAAUGUCCUUGAAUGCGUAAGAAUGACUUGACUCAACAAAUGAGCAUUUUAGAGGUUGUUUUCUUCUCUUCUUGAGGACUAACCAGACAAAGUUUGUGUUUUCAUACCUUUUAAUCACAAUGAUUUAUUUCUGGAAAGCUUCAGAUCCACUAAACAGGAAUAAACCUCCUGAAAAUCUGCGUCUUUUUUGGGCAAAUACCACCAGAGGAAGCCGAGUGAAGCCUCAGUGUAGUUUACUAUUUACAGUGAAUCUGAGACCUGGGUGACCUGGCACCGCUCUGGAAGAACUUUGAAGUUUUAAGGUGGACCAUUUAAUAUUUCUGUUCAUGUCCAAAACUACAUUUCAUUGCAAGCUUUCUUGUCAGCUGUACCGUAAAACUCUGCAGUGAUUCAUAAUCCAUCAUUUAUAUCCUCGACUCUACAGCUUGUUUUGAAAGUCUGGCUCCGGGACUCUUGAUCAUAUCUCAAACUCUGCAGCUUUGGUUCCGAAGUCUAAGCAGACAUUGCAUAUAUAUUAUUACUGUCUUGCCUCUGGAGCCCUGCACCUGUAAAACUGAAGCUGGACUGAUUUGCAGAUGUAAAGAAAAAGUCGACAACCUCCUGAAAAUGUUGAAUUCUCCAUUUUCAGAAAAGUAUUUCUGCAACUUGUUCGUGUUUUCUAGACUCAGCACUACUUUUUUGAAACACUUAAACACUUUAAUUUGUUCAUUUAACAUGCAUGUAUCGUAAUGUUGGUGCUUUGACAUUUAAUCAUGCACAAAUCAGCGUUUGCAGCAAAAAAAUCUAAAUUUGAAACUUUUUACACGAGGAAGAUUAAGACAAGAGAAGAAAAUCACCAAUAAAAUACAAAACAGUUAUAAAGGUGAGUCUUAAAAGUCUCUAUAUUCAGUCUGCUAAACAUAAAUAUAUUCUAACUGAUUGAGAUGAUUGUCUGAAGUCUCUAUAACUUGGAUUUUGUGACACUGAAAGAAAACAAAGAGCUCUACUGUACGAGUGUUUCCUCUCAGCGCUCUGCUCUUCAGGCUUCAGUAUUUGCAUAUUUUCUGUAUUUGCCCUCUGGGCUUCUCCUCCUGUGGAGCGCUCACUGCUUUCUUCAGACACUCAAAGGAGUUUUCCCAGAAUGCAUCAGAUUUGUUUAUGUCCCAAUUUGAUGUCUUAGCGGUGAUAUGUUGUAUGUUUGUGUCGCCGCAUAAAUUUAAACCUCGUCUAACCUCCUCAGAGCUCGUGUUCGCUGUCAGGUUGGUUACAUCCAGUCCUCCGCAACAAACCAUCCUCAGUCUGAUUUCCACGGCUGUGCAGAGCUCUGCGGCCCCCUCCGUUUGAAUGACAACUCAUUAGCUUGUUAAAUUGACAUGGAGAAUCGGCUAAUCUCCUCCUCGAACUGUGCAGGAGAAAGCAUGAAAUCCUGCAGAGCUCUUUUGACUUCAUGUAUGAGAGAAAACAGAUUUCUGCGAGUGGAGAGUUGUCCAUCACUUUAAACACCUGACAGAAAGAAAUUCUUCUUAAAAUUUUAUCAUUUUUUUCUUUUACAUUAAAAUCUUCAGAUUAUUAUUGACUGAAGCUCCAUCCAUAUGUGUACAGAUGCCGCUCUGGAGGUGUUUUAAAUAUGAGUCUGUUCACAAAGCAGUGCUAAAAUGGUUUCAAACCCUCACAUAAGCGUGUCAGACCAGUGCACAGCGCUUAUAUGUUACCAUAUAUAUGUUAGGAGAAUGCUGCACACGUGUGCUGAGAGCUAGCGGCAAUUUAACAUUUUUCUCGACCCUGAUAGAUUUCUUUUGGCCUCUGUGCUGCAGAAUAAUGAGAACGUGAAGCUUUAGAGUUACUUCUAAACAUGCAAACUAGUACUGAGGAAAUGUAAACAAAUGAUUAGCCAGUCACAUAGUGUAUGUGCAAAACAGAUAUGCAACUUUCAAGUAAAAGUAAAGAAGAUGAUGUCAAUGUUUGCUAAAAGCUCAGUAUUCCCCGUCCUCACAAACACAAACACACACAAAAAAAAAUGCUUUUUAUGCAGAUGACUGUCUAACAUGAGUCUGGUCCUUCUUCAGGUCUCUGCCUGUUUCUGUCUGUAACUCUAAAUUCUGCAAAGUGGUUCACUUCUGCGGAUGUAGAUGGAUCAAAGUGGUCUCACAAGGCAGGACUCAGGCCCAAUUUCCACCGCAUCUGGAACAGUGCCAAUCGGGAACAGCUGCGAUUUUCGCCGUCCACCAAUUCCUACCAGAUCUGUUGGGGAAGCAAAUUUCAUGGUGAAUUCAUAUCAAUAACGAUCGAUUGUGCAUCGAAGACCAUCUUGUUUCUGACUUUCUCCGGCUUCACCAGGUGCAUCCUUCGAAGCCCCAAAUGACCCAUGAUUCUUUGCACACCAAUACAAUUGACUUUGGGGUCUCUGAAGGUGCAGACAAGUCCAAAACAUUACAUAAACGCCAUUGUCAAGGUAGUACCGUAAGUGUGCAGUUCUCCAAAAUGCAGACCGGCUUAAUUCAGUUCAGCCUGACCUGGUCUUCUCAGACCACAACGGCCAAAUCCUGCUGCAGCCCCUGGAUUGGGAUUAAAUUUAUAUUUGCAGGUAUUGGACUAAAGAUAAACCAGAUUAUUUUAAAUUUAUACCUCUAAGUUUACGCCUCAAACCUCUUCACUCCCAUGAUCCUCCAGGUGAAAUGUUACUUCAUGUGAAAAUUCCAUCUUCCUUUAUUCCUAAAACUAUAAAAGUGUCUCUGCGCUCCUGUGUGCAGAUCUAUAUUUGUAUUUAUUCCCCUCUUCAGCUGCCUAUGAUCAUCCACGCUCUGCUCUGUAUGUUGAUUGCCUCGUGAAUUAUUAAAUAAAGCAGAUUGCCCCAUCACCGCAGAAGAAUGCGAGCGCCUGUGGUUGGCUAUAAAAAAAUCCGACAGAGAGAGAUUAGGAAAACUAAAACCAUGUGAAGUGGUGGAGAUGUCUCAGGAAGACGGAGCGCAGAUAACAACCCCGCUCUUUGAUUCAUUUCAGGGGUGAAAGAUGGAUGAGCGUCUGAAUAAUUUCUAAUCUUCUUUAAGGCCGAGCGGCAGAGGACAGGAGGGAGACGGAUGUUUAUUUACGAUGGCCGCGGCGCCCGUGGAGACCUGGAGAUCCAGCGACACGCUGAGAUGCAGCGGAGAGAUAUGACUCGGAUAAAAGCGUCGGAGAUGUCAGAGGUGAAACUGAAUAUCAUUGCUCAUGCUGCUGCAGCUGCGUCCGCUCGGCAUGAAUCCACAGAAAAGCUCUUUUUUACGGAUUUAUCUGGACGCUGAGAAGAAAACUCUUUGUUUUCUUCUUUCAGUUUAGGUUCUUUUAUUAUUUUUAUCUGACCUCUGACCUCUUAUCCUCCUUGUCUUCAUCUCCUGCAUCUUUCUGAGUCUUUUCAGAUAAAAACCCUCGACUUUAUUCCUCCCUCUUGGCUCUCUCUCUUCAUCCUGGUUACUUUAGCGUCUCUGAAGUCCUUCUCUUAUCAACCCCGCUCUCUCUCCCUCUCUCUCUCUCUCUCUCUCUCCGUCCUCUGCUCCGCUGACCCGCUCACACAAACUUUCAGAGAGGCUGUGAAGCUGAACCACAGUGAGCGCGGCUCCUUCAUGUGGCCCCUCUGGGGGUCCCCUGCAGUGGGGCUGGUGUUUAAUCAAGCCCCUGGCUUUGACUCCCAGCGGGCUCACACCCCUCCUGACCCCCACCAUCUGUGGGGGCUGCAGAGGCUCACUGAGCCCACCAGCUCCAUUAUGAGCUACCUGUCCUUGAGCUCUCGGUGUUUUCUUCAGCAGAGUGUGUUCAGCUGACACUGCAAAUCUACGGCGUAUAACUCACAGCACACACACACACACACACACAGGAGAGAUACACACGCACACACAGAGGAGAGACACACACAUGCAGCCUGAGAGUGUGAAAGACAGAGGAGACAAAGACAAUAGUACAAUCAAGGGCAGGCCUGCAAUUUAGCUCUCAGUCCUCCCAAGAAUCAGAAGAAAUAUCGAAACAAUUCGCUGCCCCAAUUACAUGAAACAACGGAGAGAGAGAGAGAGAGAGAGAGAGAGAGAGAGAGCUUUCCCUUAGAUGUGUGUCUUUACAUCGUGAUGAAUGCCGACAAACUCCAGAAACGAGAGAGUAUUAUCCUAAAAGUAACGAAUCACAAAUCUACUUCUGCUUCUUUAACAUUUUUGUUUGUUUGUUUUAUUAAUGUGUGACCAUAAAAAAUUCAUGUGAUGAACAUAAAUCUAAGAAAUGAUUCAUUUCAAACAGUAACUGAGAAGUCAACUUCUCUGUGGUUUGUUAAGUGUUUUAUCCAAACUACUGUCAGCUGGUCCUCCGGGUUUAGAGAGAGAAGGAACAGCUGUUUGUGGUUUUUAGAGAAACAUCAUUUAUUCAACAAGACAAACAGUCUUUCUCAGUGUUAAUCCUGGCUGAUAUAUCUGAUUUAGUUUUAGUCUUUGGGCUUAAAGGGAUAUUCCGCGGGAAAUUAAUUUAGGGUCAAACACACCGUAACACCAAGUUAGACCCCCCUGAAGAUGGAUGUUACCGACCGUUUGCUUCUCUAGUUAUACCAACUUUAGUAACGACCGCAGGAUCCAGCAGCAGCUUGUUCAUAGCGAGACCUCAGGCCAGUCCAUUAAGGACUACAGCGGGGUGACGCAGCUCAAGGAAGAACAUUUAUGAUCAUUUCUUUAUCAUUUCCUUGAAGUAAUAAUCAACAAAUUAAUUAUUUUCACUGCAGACGCGGUAGUUCUUCUGCCUUAGCGUCUCGGUCUGAUUGUAUUUCCAUGAAGAAAUUAUCAUAAAUGUUCUUCCUUGAGCUGCGACACCCCGCUGUAGUCCGUAAUGGACUGUUUGGUGUCUAGUACUAUGGCUGUGACCCUAUAUGUCCUGUUGAUGAAGUUAGGUGCUGUUCUGGGCAUUAUUUGUGGUUAUAGAGUGGCGUUUUGGUUGAGGGCGUGGCUCUGUGUAUUUCUAUCCUGCGGUCGUUACUAAAGUUGGUAUAACUAGAGAAGCAAGCGGUCG